Molecule: ribosomal RNA, 253 nt
Filed under: uncultured bacterium
Lineage: Bacteria
Description: partial 16S ribosomal RNA
Rfam family: Bacterial small subunit ribosomal RNA
Source: RNAcentral
UACAGAGGUGGCAAGCGUUGUUCGGAAUUACUGGGCGUAAAGGGCGCGUAGGCGGUCUUGUAAGUCUCGUGUGAAAUCCCUCGGCUUAACUGAGGAACUGCACGGGAUACUGCUUGACUUGAGUUCGGGAGAGGGAAGCGGAAUUCCGGGUGUAGCGGUGAAAUGCGUAGAUAUCGGGAGGAACACCAGUGGCGAAGGCGGCUUCCUGGACCGGUUCUGACACUGAGGAGCGAAAGCGUGGGGAGCGAUCCGG